UGCCGGAAGCUGGCACACGAUGAUACUGAGUCACGUACCAGUGAGGUCUAGGUUGAGGUCGCCUUCAGUGCUGGAAGCUAAGGCACUAGCACUCGCCUUGGGAGUACGUGCCAGGCUGGAAACUCCAAAGGCAUGACGGGACCCGCCACCAAGCGGGUGGGAGCAUGUGGUUUAUCGAGCAACGCGGAAGAACCUUACCACUCUGACAUCCCCUGACCGGUACAGAGAUGUACUCUUCCCUUCGGGGGCAGGGGUGACAGGUGGUGCAUGGUUGUCGUCAGCUCGUGUCGUGAGAUGUUGGGUUAAGUCCCGCAACGAGCGCAACCCUUGUCCUUAGUUGCCACCAUUCAGUUGGGCACUCUAAGGAGACUGCCGGUGACAAACCGGAGGAAGGUGGGGAUGACGUCAAAUCAUCAUGCCCCUUAUGAGUUGGGCUACACACGUGCUACAAUGGACGGUACAAAGGGCAGCGAAGCCGCGAGGUGGAGCCAAUCCCAGAAAGCCGUUCUCAGUUCGGAUUGCAGGCUGCAACUCGCCUGCAUGAAGUCGGAAUCGCUAGUAAUCGCAGGUCAGCAUACUGCGGUGAAUACGUUCCCGGGUCUUGUACACACCGCCCGUCACACCACGAGAGUUUGUAACACCCGAAGUCGGUGAGGUAACCUUAGGGAGCCAGCCGCCGAACGUGACAG
This 689-nucleotide ribosomal RNA is filed under the name Exiguobacterium aurantiacum. Its description in RNAcentral is "bacterial SSU rRNA". It matches the Rfam family "Bacterial small subunit ribosomal RNA", at positions 720 to 1470 of the family's 1533-position model. The record is from RNAcentral. Lineage: Bacteria; Bacillati; Bacillota; Bacilli; Caryophanales.